This 497-nucleotide ribosomal RNA is filed under the name uncultured bacterium. RNAcentral's name for it is "partial 16S ribosomal RNA". It matches the Rfam family "Bacterial small subunit ribosomal RNA", at positions 28 to 507 of the family's 1533-position model. The record is from RNAcentral.
GAUGAACGCUGGCGGCGUGCCUAAUACAUGCAAGUCGAGCGAACAGAUGAGGAGCUUGCUCCUCUGACGAUAGCCGCGCACGGGUGAGUAACACGUGGAUAACCUACCUAUAAGACUGGGAUAACUUCGGGAAACCGGAGCUAAUACCGGAUAAUAUAUUGAACCGCAUGGUGCAAUAGUGAAAGACGGUUGUGCUGUCACUUAUAGAUGGAUCCCGGCCGCAUUAGCUAGUUGUUAAGGUAACGGCUUACCAAGGCAACGAUGCGUAGCCGACCUGAGAGGGUGGUCGCCCGCACUAGAGCUGAGACGCGGUCAAGACUCCUACGGGAGGCAGCAGUCGCGUAUGUUCCGCAGUGGGCGAGAGCCUGACGGAGCAACCGCGAGUGAGUGAUGAAGGUGUUCGGAUCGUAAAGAUCGGUUAUUAGGGAAGAACAGAUGUGUAAGUAGCUAUGCACGUCUUGACGGUACCUAAUCAGAAAGCCACGGCUAACUACGUG